GGGGAAUUUUGGACAAUGGGCGCAAGCCUGAUCCAGCAAUGCCGCGUGCAGGACGAAGGCCUUCGGGUUGUAAACUGCUUUUGUACGGAACGAAAAGCCUUCUUCUAAUACAGGAGGGUCAUGACGGUACCGUAAGAAUAAGCACCGGCUAACUACGUGCCAGCAGCCGCGGUAAUACGUAGGGUGCAAGCGUUAAUCGGAAUUACUGGGCGUAAAGCGUGCGCAGGCGGUUGUGUAAGACAGGUGUGAAAUCCCCGAGCUUAACUUGGGAAUUGCACUUGUGACUGCACGGCUAGAGUGCGGCAGAGGGGGAUGGAAUUCCGCGUGUAGCAGUGAAAUGCGUAGAUAUGCGGAGGAACACCGAUGGCGAAGGCAAUCCCCUGGGCCUGCACUGACGCUCAUGCACGAAAGCGUGGGGAGCAAAC
This 425-nucleotide ribosomal RNA is filed under the name uncultured bacterium. RNAcentral's name for it is "bacterial SSU rRNA". It matches the Rfam family "Bacterial small subunit ribosomal RNA", at positions 356 to 773 of the family's 1533-position model. The record is from RNAcentral.